ACCCGCUGAACUUAAGCAUAUCAAUAAGCGGAGGAAAAGAAACCAACAGGGAUUGCCCUAGUAACGGCGAGUGAAGCGGCAAUAGCUCAAAUUUGAAAGCUGGCCUCUGGUCCGCAUUGUAAUUUGUAGAGGAUGCUUUUAGGCAGCCGCCGGUCUAAGUUCCUUGGAACAGGACGUCAUAGAGGGUGAGAAUCCCGUAUGUGACCGGCUCAGGCACCUUCUGUAAAGCUCCUUCGACGAGUCGAGUUGUUUGGGAAUGCAGCUCUAAAUGGGAGGUAAAUUUCUUCUAAAGCUAAAUACUGGCGAGAGACCGAUAGCGCACAAGUAGAGUGAUCGAAAGAUGAAAAGCACUUUGGAAAGAGAGUUAAAAAGCACGUGAAAUUGUUGAAAGGGAAGCGCUUGCAAUCAGACUUGGCCUCGGAUGUUCAACCGGUCUUCUGACCGGCCUAUUCAUUCGGGGCCAGGCCAGCAUCAGUUUCGGCGGCCGGAUAAAGGCCUUGGGAAUGUGGCUUUCCCUUCGGGGGAAGUGUUAUAGCCCAGGGUGUAAUACGGCCAGCUGGGACUGAGGUCCGCGCUUCGGCUAGGAUGCUGGCGUAAUGGUUGUAAGCGGCCCGUCUUGAAACACGG
Molecule: ribosomal RNA, 627 nt
Filed under: uncultured fungus
Lineage: Eukaryota; Fungi
Description: LSU rRNA
Rfam family: Eukaryotic large subunit ribosomal RNA
Source: RNAcentral